ACCGCAGACCGCCUUAUCGCUUUCAGUAAUGAGAGAGGAAAGUCCGGACACCAAAGAGUAGCAUAACGGGUAACGCCCGUCUCUCGUCUUUCGGGACGAGAAGGACCAGUGCAACAGAAAGUAUGUACAGUUCGGCUGUAGUGAAACCAGGUAAACUCUAUGCGGUGAAAUGCCAUGUAUAUCAACGUUCUGCUUCGGCAGAUAAGAGCUACUCGUUCGAUGUUGAAGGGUAGGCAGCUAGAUUCAAUGGGUAACUAUUGAGCAAGAUAAAUGAUAAGGUGAU
Molecule: RNase P RNA, 283 nt
Filed under: Bacteroidetes bacterium HGW-Bacteroidetes-23
Lineage: Bacteria; Pseudomonadati; Bacteroidota
Description: partial RNase P RNA component class A
Rfam family: Bacterial RNase P class A
About the family: Ribonuclease P (RNase P) is a ubiquitous endoribonuclease, found in archaea, bacteria and eukarya as well as chloroplasts and mitochondria.
Source: RNAcentral